This 7546-nucleotide long non-coding RNA is filed under the name Xyrichtys novacula (pearly razorfish). Lineage: Eukaryota; Metazoa; Chordata; Actinopteri; Labriformes; Labridae. The record is from RNAcentral.
UUUUAAAAACAGUUCAUCACACAUAUUUGUGGUUUAAUUUCACAUUAAUUUCCAUAUUGUAUAAAUGACUGGAAAAAACUUGAGCCCCUGCCCCUGUAUAAUCAUGUGCACGUCCCUGUUCUCGCUCCAAGGUGAAUCUUCACUGCUCAUGUUCUCCUCAGAAAUAGUCACCUCACUCCCCUCAGGUUACUGUACACAUACACCAACUAUCUGCUUCAGGUUUGAAAUGGAGCUUCAUGGUUGUCUUUUGGAGAAAUGAACAGUCAAGUUGUGUUUGAAAUUUGAUUUUUUUCAGGGGCAAAAGGAAGCCUCUGCAUUCUUGUCAAAUAUGUAAACAGCAUGUUUUUGCAGGUGCUAAAAAACAGACUCUGAGUGUGUGUGUGUGUCUGUGUGUGUGUGUGUGUGUGUGUGUGUAUGUUGGCGUGUGUGUAUAUGUGUGUGUAUCCUGCAGUACUCUGUACUCCUGCAGUGGCCAAAAAGACUUUUAAGAAUGUGGAUUUUUGGGUCAUCUUUGGCGCCCCCUAGAACUGCAGUACUCUGUACUCCUGCAGUGGCCAAAAUGACUUUUAAGAAUGUGGAUUUUUGGGUCAUCUUUGGCGCCCCCUAGAACGUAAACCGUGGGGUGCAGCGUCAUGAUUUUUACAACUUUGAAUGGGCAUGGGGUGUAGAUUGCCCUGAGCAAAUUUGGUAUCGGUGGGACGAAAGCCUUAGGAGGAGAUAGCCACAUUCCAAUGUGUGCAAAUCGGCAAAAAAUGCAAAAUAGCCCUUUAACCGUACAUUAUACAGAUACGCGCUCUUUGACUUUUUCGUAGAUCUAAUUGAGAUACACAUGAUUGUCAAUUUUUGUGUCAAUAUGACAAAGCGUUCAGGCGUGACACUCAACAAUGUGUAUUUUCAUGUAAGGGGACAAGAAAAAAUUGACUUUUUUCUCCUACCAUGGGGGGGCGCUCUUUUGGGGAGUAAAAAUUCCUUCACAAAUGUGUUGAUGGCUGGACAUUGCAUCAUCCUAGAAAACUUGGAGGCCAGUGAGGACAAAAAUAAAAAGUUAUAAAACAUUUAAGAAUGUGGAUUUUUGGGUUAUUUUUGGCGCCCCCUAGAACCUAAACCAUGGGGUGCAGCAUCAUGAUUUGAAUAACUUUUAAUGGCCAUGGGGUGUAGAUUGGCCUGAGCAAAUGUGGUGCCGGUGGAACGAAAGCCUUCGGAGGAGUUAGCGAAAUUCCAAUGUGUGCGGAUCGGCAAAAAAUGCGAAAUAACCCUUUAACCGUACAUUUGACAGAUACGCCCGCACUGACUUUUUUGUAGAUAUUAUUGAGAUACAUGUGUGUGUCAAUUUUUGUGUCAAUAUGACAAAGCGUACAGGCGUGACAGUCAAUAGUGUGAAUUUUCACCUUUGGGGGCGCUAUUGAGCCAUUUUGCAUUUUAUUGUUUGGGCGACAUCAGAAUAUCGAAUUUUUCACCAGGCCCGGUCAUCCUGCCAAAUUUCAUGAGUUUUCGCCGGUGGGAAGUGGGCCAUUUUCCAGUUUAAAGCGGAGGAAAAAUAAUAAUAACUAGGGCCCCGUUGGGGCACUGGCGGGCCCGAGCCGUGUCGCGCCGCCCCCAGCGCGACCGCCUACCCCUCCCGAUCGCGUCACACUCAAGGUCCAAAGAUGGUGUGCGCACUUGUCUGUGGUCAUUUACCAUUAUAAUGAAUGGGAGGCGCAGUUUCUACCAAAACGCUCGCUGCAGACAAACUCCAUGUCCUUUUUGAAAAAAGUCUGGACCAUGAGUGAGGGCACAAACACAGCUAGUAUAUAUCCAAAUGGCAAGUUGCUCCUCCUUUCGGUUUUGCCGAGAGAGCGAUGCGUUUGAGCCAUUGAGCGAUGGGCAGGAAAAACUUGACUUUUUCUCCUGCCAUGGGGGGCGCUCUUUUGGGGAGAAAAAUUCCUUCACAAAUGUGUUGAUGGCUGGACAUUGCAUCAUCCUAGAAAACUUGGAGGCCAGUGAGGACAAAAAUAAAAAGUUAUAAGACUUUUAAAAAUGUGGAUAUUUGGGUCCUCUUUGGCGCCCCCUAGAACGUAAACUGUGGGGUGCAGCGUCAUGAUUUGUACAACUUUGAAUGGCCAUGGGGUGUAGAUUGACCUGAGCAAAUUUGAAGCCGAUGGGACAAAAGAUUUAGGAGGAGUUAGCCACAUUCCAAUGUGUGCGAAUCAGCAAAAAAUGCGAAAUAGCCCUUUAACCGUACAUUGAACAGAUACGCUCGCAUUGACUUUUUCGUAGAUCUUAUUGAGAUACAUGUGUGUGUCAAAUUUUGUGUCAUUUUGACAAAGCGUAAAGGCGUGACAGUCAACAAUGUGUAUUUUCGCCUUAGGAGACAAGAAAAAAUGGACUUUUUUCUCCUGCCAUGGGGGGGCGCUCUUUUGGCGAGUAAAAAUUCCUUCACAAAUGUGUUGAUGGCUGGACAUUGCAUCAUCCUAGAGAACUUGGAGGCCAGUGAGGACAAAAAUAAAAAGUUAUAAGACUUUUAAGACUGUGGAUUUUUGGGUUAUCUUUGGCGCCCCCUAGAACGUAAACCGUGGGGUGCAGCGUCAUGAUUUGUACAACUUUUAAUGGCCAUGGGGUGUAGAUUGGCCUGAGCAAAUGUGGUGCCUUUGGAACGAAAGCCUUCGGAGGAGUUAGCGAAAUUCCAAUGUGUGCGGAUCGGCAAAAAAUGCGAAAUAGCCCUUUAACCGUACAUUUGACAGAUACGCUCGCACUGACUUUUUUGUAGAUCUUAUUGAGAUACAUGUGUGUGUCAAUUUUUGUGUCAAUAUGACAAAGCGUAAAGGCGUGACAGUCAAUAGUGUGAAUUUUCGCCUUAGGAGACAAGAAAAAAUGGACUUUUUUCUCCUGCCAUGGGGGGGCGCUCUUUUGGCGAGUAAAAAUUCCUUCACAAAUGUGUUGAUGGCUGGACAUUGCAUCAUCCUAGAGAACUUGGAGGCCAGUGAGGACAAAAAUAAAAAGUUAUAAGACUUUUAAGACUGUGGAUUUUUGGGUUAUCUUUGGCGCCCCCUAGAACGUAAACCGUGGGGUGCAGCGUCAUGAUUUGUACAACUUUUAAUGGCCAUGGGGUGUAGAUUGGCCUGAGCAAAUGUGGUGCCGGUGGAACGAAAGCCUUCGGAGGAGUUAGCGAAAUUCCAAUGUGUGCGGAUCGGCAAAAAAUGCGAAAUAACCCUUUAACCGUACAUUUGACAGAUACGCUCGCACUGACUUUUUUGUAGAUCUUAUUGAGAUACAUGUGUGUGUCAAUUUUUGUGUCAAUAUGACAAAGCGUAAAGGCGUGACAGUCAAUAGUGUGAAUUUUCACCUUAGGGGGCGCUAUGGAGCCAUUUUGCAUUUUAUUGUUUGGGCGACUUCAGAAUAUCGAAUUUUUCACCAGGCCCAUUCGUCCUGCCAAAUUUCAUGAGUUUUCGCCAGUGGGAAGUGGGCCAUUUUCCCCUUCAAAGGGGAGGAAAAAUAAGACUAGGGCCCCGGUGGGGCACUGUCGGGCCCGAGCCGCGUCGCGCCGCCCCCAGCGCGACCGCCUCCCCCUCCCGAUCGCGUCACACUCAAGGUCCAAAGAUGGUGUGCGCACUUGUCUGUGGUCAUUUCCCAUUAUAAUGAAUGGGAGGCGCAGUUUCUACCAAAACGCUCGCUGCAGACAAACUACAUGUCCUAUUUGAAAAAAGUCUGGACCAUGAGUGAGGGCACAAACACAGCUAGUAUAUAUCCAAAUGGCAAGUUGCUCCUCCUUUCGGUUUUGCAGAGAGAGCGAUGCGUUUGAGCCAUUGAGCGAUGGGCAGGAAAAACUUGACUUUUUCUCCUGCCAUGGGGGGCGCUCUUUUGGGGAGAAAAAUUCCUUCACAAAUGUGUUGAUGGCUGGACAUUGCAUCAUCCUAGAAAACUUGGAGGCCAGUGAGGACAAAAAUAAAAAGUUAUAAGACUUUUAAAAAUGUGGAUAUUUGGGUCCUCUUUGGCGCCCCCUAGAACGUAAACUGUGGGGUGCAGCGUCAUGAUUUGUACAACUUUGAAUGGCCAUGGGGUGUAGAUUGACCUGAGCAAAUUUGAAGCCGAUGGGACAAAAGAUUUAGGAGGAGUUAGCGAAAUUCCAAUGUGUGCGGAUCGGCAAAAAAUGCGAAAUAACCCUUUAACCGUACAUUUGACAGAUACGCCCGCACUGACUUUUUUGUAGAUCUUAUUGAGAUACAUGUGUGUGUCAAAUUUUGUGUCAUUUUGACAAAGCGUAAAGGCGUGACAGUCAACAAUGUGUAUUUUCGCCUUAGGAGACAAGAAAAAAUGGACUUUUUUCUCCUGCCAUGGGGGGCGCUCUUUUGGCGAGUAAAAAUUCCUUCACAAAUGUGUUGAUGGCUGGACAUUGCAUCAUCCUAGAGAACUUGGAGGCCAGUGAGGACAAAAAUAAAAAGUUAUAAGACUUUUAAGACUGUGGAUUUUUGGGUUAUCUUUGGCGCCCCCUAGAACGUAAACCGUGGGGUGCAGCGUCAUGAUUUGUACAACUUUUAAUGGCCAUGGGGUGUAGAUUGGCCUCAGCAAAUGUGGUGCUUUUGGAACGAAAGCCUUCGGAGGAGUUAGCGAAAUUCCAAUGUGUGCGGAUCGGCAAAAAAUGCGAAAUAGCCCUUUCACCGUACAUUUGACAGAUACGCCCGCACUGACUUUUUUGUAGAUCUUAUUGAGAUACAUGUGUGUGUCAAUUUUUGUGUCAAUAUGACAAAGCGUAAAGGCGUGACAGUCAAUAGUGUGAAUUUUCGCCUUAGGAGACAAGAAAAAAUGGACUUUUUUCUCCUGCCAUGGGGGGGCGCUCUUUUGGGGAGUAAAAAUUCCUUCACAAAUGUGUUGAUGGCUGGACAUUGCAUCAUCCUAGAAAACUUGGAGGCCAGUGAGGACAAAAAUAAAAAGUUAUACGACUUUUAAGAAUGUGGAUUUCUGGGUUAUCUUUGGCGCCCCCUAGAACGUAAACCGUGGGAUGCAGCGUCAUGAUUUGUACAACUUUUAAUUGCCAUGGGGUGUAGAUUGGCCUGAGCAAAUUUGGUGCCGGUGGAACGAAAGCCUUCGGAGGAGUUAGCGAAAUUCCAAUGUGUGCGGAUCGGCAAAAAAUGCGAAAUAGCCCUUUAACCGUACAUUUGACAGAUACGCCCGCACUGACUUUUUUGUAGAUCUUAUUGAGAUACACGUGUGUGUCAAAUUUUGUGUCAUUUUGACAAAGCGUACAGGCGUGACACUCAAUCAUGUGAAUUUUUCACCUUAGGGGGCGCUAUGGAGCCAUUUUGCAUUUGAUUUUUUGGGCGACUUCAGAAUAUCGAAUUUUUCACCAGGCCCGGUCGUCCUGCCAAAUUUCAUGACUUUUCACCAGUGGGAAGUGGGCCAUUUUCCAGUUCAAAGGGGCAGAAAAAUAAUAAGAAGAAGAAGAAGAAAGAAGAAUCCAUCAGGAAUAAUAGGGCUCUCGCAGCUGCUUAGCAGCUACGCUCGGGCCCUAAAGAAAGAAAGAAAGAAAGAAAGAAAGAAAGAAGAAAGAAAAACCUAUACAGGAAUAAUAGGGCUCUACGCCCGGCUGCUCUGCAGCUGGCUCGGGCCCUAAUAAUAACAAAAGAAGGAAACAUGCAGGAACAAGAGGGCUCUCGCAGCUGCUUAGCAGCUACGCUCGGGCCCUAACUAGGACCCCGUUGGGGCACUGGCGGGCCCGAGCCGUGUCGCGUCCCCCCCCAACGUGCUGCCUCCCCGUCCCAUUUGUGUCCUCUGGCCAUCGCCCUCUCUGGUAACGCCCAUCACUGCAAAGACCCUUUUCCUUCAUCGGCGUUUGCUGUUCUUCCUGCCAGUGCGUGUUGCUUUCACUUACACUUGCCACAGCCAGCCUCGUGAGUGCCUAACCUAUUGGAUAUCACUGUCACCUACACAGGACAGUCAUUACCUUUCUAUUAAUACUUUGUGUUUUAAUUUCACAUUAAUUUCCAUAUUGUAUAAACGACUGGAAAAAACUUGAGCCCCUGCCCCUGUAUAAUCAUGUGCAUGUCUCUGUUCUAGCUCCAAGGUGAAUCUUCACUGCUCAUGUUCUCCUCAGAAGCACUCACCUCACUCCCCUCAGGUUACUGUACACAUGCACCAACUGCCUGCUUCAGGUUUGGAUGGAGCUUCAUGGUUGUCUUUUGGAGAAAUGACCAGUCAAGUUGUGUUUGAAAUUUGAUUUUUUUCAGGGGCAAAAGGAGCCUCUGCAUUCUUGUCAAAUAUGUAAAUAGCAUGUUUUUGCAGGUGCUAAAAACCAGACUCUGAGUGUGUGUGUGUGUGUGUGUGUGUGUGUGCGUGUGUGUGUGUCUAUGUGUGCGUUCAAGUCACAUGACAUAUUUAACCUGAUGUAGCUGCAAGACGGAGCCUCGUUGACUCUCCGUUUCAACUUAUCUCAAAAGUGAGGACCUCAACCUAUAUACCAGUUUUUAAAUUGUGUUGAUAGGCCAAAUAAAACCAGAGUUAUGAUAAAUUAUGUCCGCGAUACUUUUUUUCUGCUUAUUUUGAUCACGUUCGGCGCUCGAUCGCGCUGUAUGAGACAGGAAAACAUAGCAUGCAGACAUUAGCGACAGGUCUUACAGGCGGAAAAGGCUUGCCAAAAGAAAAAAAAAACACACCACAACAUCUCUCCUAUUGGUGGAAAACUUCACCACAACAACCAAUCCAAAAUUAUAUGGUGACUGAUUGACAAGGGGCGGGCGCUUACGUUCUUCCUGCAACAUGAGAAGGGAGGGAGGGACUCUCAGCAGGGAUGCAGUCUGGGACACGUAGUUGCAAACCUAGCGACUUUUUUGUUAGAUUCAAUGACUUUUCAGACACCCUAACGACUUUUUUAGAAAGAAAGGGACUUUUAUCGACUUCUUCUGGAGUUUAGAGACUCUGACAUGAAGCAGGCUUUCCUUACUGAGGAGUUAGCAACGCUGCUAAGGGUGCAGAGCCACACAUGCGCUCAGAGCUCUGCAUGGGAGACUGAAGCUGACAGAGCUGCAGCAGUUAGCAGGUUUCACCCUCAGAGACCACCAGGGGUUCAUGUUGAGGCAUUUUAAUUUUUUUUUUUUUUUGUGCCAUAGACACUGUCAGCAAAAUCUGCAGUUACACUAACAAAAAUGCUGCAAAAAACAAAGAAUUAUGGAAAAAUUACACAUGGACUGACAUAGAGGAGGAUCUACACAAGUUUUUUACAUCAUGUUUUACAUCAUGCAUCAUUUACAUCAUGUUUGUUUGUAGUGGCAUAAAUAAAAAGUGACAUUUGUGAGACUAUACAGUGUUUUGUAAAUAAUUUUACAAAGAACGCCUGGGCCAUUGCCUGCAUUUUGAUGUAAAUAGAGGUAAAUUACUAUGUUCUUUGUUAAAAAUUUGCAUAUGUUUUGAAGUUUACAAUUUUUAUUUGAAGUUUAAGUUUUAAAAACAGUUCAUCACACAUAUUUGUGGUUUAAUUUCACAUUAAUUUCCAUAUUGUAUAAAUGACUGGAAAAAACUUGAGCCCCUGCCCCUGUAUAAUCAUGUGCACGUCCCUGUUCUAGCUCCAAGGUGAAUC